CAGUAACUCGAACGAAUGGAAAGUCCAGAAAUGGACAAUGAGUAAUCAUAUAAAAUUCUGGGCGUAGAGGAAUAAUGACUAUUUAUGUCCAUAAGUAUUGACCAAAUUACGUGCCAGCAGUCGCGGUAAUACGUAGAAUACAAGUGUUAUUCAUGUUUAGUCGGUUUAAAGGGUACCUAGACGGGAAACCAAGCAGUAUUGGUACUAGUUUCCUAGAGUUUUAUGUGGGAGGAAAGAAUUGUUAGAAGAGAGAUGAAAUGUUAUGAAACUAACAGGACUGGUAACGGCGAAGGCAUUUCUCUAUGUAAAAACUGACGUUGAGGGACGAAGCCUGGGGUAACGAUAAGGAUUAGAUACCCUAAUAGUCCCAGGAGACAAUUAUGAAUGUCAUAGGCUCGUUAAGUUAGCCU
Molecule: ribosomal RNA, 410 nt
Filed under: Pyrenula sanguinea
Lineage: Eukaryota; Fungi; Ascomycota; Eurotiomycetes; Pyrenulales; Pyrenulaceae
Description: mitochondrial SSU rRNA
Rfam family: Bacterial small subunit ribosomal RNA
Source: RNAcentral